Molecule: ribosomal RNA, 497 nt
Filed under: uncultured bacterium
Lineage: Bacteria
Description: partial 16S ribosomal RNA
Rfam family: Bacterial small subunit ribosomal RNA
Source: RNAcentral
GAUGAACGCUGGCGGCGUGCCUAAUACAUGCAAGUCGAGCGAACAGACGAGGAGCUUGCUCCUCUGACGUUAGCGGCGGACGGGUGAGUAACACGUGGAUAACCUACCUAUAAGACUGGGAUAACUUCGGGAAACCGGAGCUAAUACCGGAUAAUAUAUUGAACCGCAUGGUUCAAUAGUGAAAGACGGUUUUGCUGCCACUUAUAGAUGGAUCCGCGCCGCAUUAGCUAGUUGGUGAGGUAACGGCUUACCAAGGCAACGAUGCGUAGCCGACCUGAGAGGGUGAUCGGCCACACUGGAACUGAGACACGGUCCAGACUCCUACGGGAGGCAGCAGUAGGGAAUCUUCCGCAAUGGGCGAAAGCCUGACGGAGCAACGCCGCGUGAGUGAUGAAGGUCUUCGGAUCGUAAAACUCUGUUAUUAGGGAAGAACAAAUGUGUAAGUAACUAUGCACGUCUUGACGGUACCUAAUCAGAAAGCCACGGCUAACUACGUG